AGAGUUUGAUCCUGGCUCAGAUUGAACGCUGGCGGCAUGCCUAACACAUGCAAGUCGAACGGAAACGAUGCUAGCUUGCUAGCAGGCGUCGAGUGGCGGACGGGUGAGUAAUAUAUAGGGAUCUGCCUAAUAGUGGGGGACAACGUGUGGAAACGCACGCUAAUACCGCAUACGCUCUACGGAGGAAAGUGGGGGAUCUUCGGACCUCAUGCUAUUAGAUGAACCUAUAUCGGAUUAGCUUGUUGGUGAGGUAAUGGCUCACCAAGGCGACGAUCCGUAGCUGGUUUGAGAGAAUGAUCAGCCACACUGGGACUGAGACACGGCCCAGACUCCUACGGGAGGCAGCAGUGGGGAAUAUUGCACAAUGGACGAAAGUCUGAUGCAGCAAUGCCGCGUGUGUGAAGAAGGCCUUCGGGUUGUAAAGCACUUUCAGAUGUGAGGAAAAGCAGUCUAUUAAUACUAGAUUGCCGUGACGUUAACAUCAGAAGAAGGACCGGCUAACUCCGUGCCAGCAGCCGCGGUAAUACGGAGGGUCCAAGCGUUAAUCGGAAUUACUGGGCGUAAAGCGCGCGUAGGCGGAUAAUUAAGUCAGAUGUGAAAUCCCUGGGCUCAACCUAGGAACUGCAUUUGAUACUGGCUAUCUAGAGUAUGGUAGAGGUGAGUGGAAUUUCAGGUGUAGCGGUGAAAUGCGUAGAGAUCUGAAGGAACAUCAGUGGCGAAGGCGACUCACUGGGCCAUUACUGACGCUGAGGUGCGAAAGCGUGGGUAGCAAACAGGAUUAGAUACCCUGGUAGUCCACGCCCUAAACGAUGUCAACUAGGUGUGUGAGAGUCUAACUCUUGCGUAUCGAAGCUAACGCGAUAAGUUGACCGCCUGGGGAGUACGGUCGCAAGACUAAAACUCAAAUGAAUUGACGGGGCCCGCACAAGCGGUGGAGCAUGUGGUUUAAUUCGAUGCAACGCGAAGAACCUUACCUGGCCUUGACAUGUAGUGAACUUACCAGAGAUGGUUUGGUGCCUUCGGGAACACUAACACAGGUGCUGCAUGGCUGUCGUCAGCUCGUGUCGUGAGAUGUUGGGUUAAGUCCCGCAACGAGCGCAACCCCUGUCCUUAGUUGCCAUCAUUUAGUUGGGCACUCUAAGGAGACUGCCGGUGACAAACCGGAGGAAGGUGGGGAUGACGUCAAGUCCUCAUGGCCUUUAUGCCCAGGGCUACACACGUGCUACAAUGGGCGGCACAAAGGGCAGCGACGCCGCGAGGUGUAGCAAAUCCCAAAAAACCGUUCUCAGUUCGGAUCGGAGUCUGCAACUCGACUCCGUGAAGUUGGAAUCGCUAGUAAUCGUGGAUCAGCAUGCCACGGUGAAUACGUUCCCGGGCCUUGUACACACCGCCCGUCACACCACGAAGGUCUGCUGUACCAGAAGUCGCUGGGCUAACCCCGCUUGCGGGGGGGCAGGCGUCUAAGGUACGGCCGGUAAUUGGGGUGAAGUCGUAACAAGGUAACC
RNAcentral lists this ribosomal RNA (1505 nucleotides) under uncultured bacterium. RNAcentral describes it as "bacterial SSU rRNA". It matches the Rfam family "Bacterial small subunit ribosomal RNA". The record is from RNAcentral.